RNAcentral lists this ribosomal RNA (301 nucleotides) under uncultured bacterium. RNAcentral's name for it is "partial 16S ribosomal RNA". It matches the Rfam family "Bacterial small subunit ribosomal RNA", at positions 509 to 809 of the family's 1533-position model. The record is from RNAcentral.
CAGUCGCCGCGGGAAUACGUAGGUGGCAAGCGUUGUCCGGAAUUAUUGGGCGUAAAGGGCUCGCAGGCGGUUUCUUAAGUCUGAUGUGAAAGCCCCCGGCUCAACCGGGGAGGGUCAUUGGAAACUGGGAAACUUGAGUGCAGAAGAGGAGAGUGGAAUUCCACGUGUAGCGGUGAAAUGCGUAGAGAUGUGGAGGAACACCAGUGGCGAAGGCGACUCUCUGGUCUGUAACUGACGCUGAGGAGCGAAAGCGUGGGGAGCGAACAGGAUUAGAUACCCGCGUAGUCCCUGUCUCUUAUCA